Molecule: ribosomal RNA, 486 nt
Filed under: uncultured Pseudomonadota bacterium
Lineage: Bacteria; Pseudomonadati; Pseudomonadota
Description: bacterial SSU rRNA
Rfam family: Bacterial small subunit ribosomal RNA
Source: RNAcentral
UGGGGAAUAUUGGACAAUGGGCGAAAGCCUGAUCCAGCAAUGCCGCGUGAGUGAUGAAGGCCUUAGGGUUGUAAAGCUCUUUUACCCGGGAUGAUAAUGACAGUACCGGGAGAAUAAGCUCCGGCUAACUCCGUGCCAGCAGCCGCGGUAAUACGGAGGGAGCUAGCGUUAUUCGGAAUUACUGGGCGUAAAGCGCACGUAGGCGGCUUUGUAAGUUAGAGGUGAAAGCCUGGAGCUCAACUCCAGAAUUGCCUUUAAGACUGCAUCGCUUGAAUCCAGGAGAGGUGAGCGGAAUUCCGAGUGUAGAGGUGAAAUUCGUAGAUAUUCGGAAGAACACCAGUGGCGAAGGCGGCUCACUGGACUGGUAUUGACGCUGAGGUGCGAAAGCGUGGGGAGCGAAACAGGAUUAGAUACCCUGGUAGUCCACGCCGUAAACGAUGAUAACUAGCUGUCGGGGCUCUUAGAGCUUCGGUGGCGCAGCUAACG